GGGGAUGCAGCUCAGCAGUGGAGCACUUGGCUAGCAUGCAUGAGGCCCUGGGUUCCAUCUCCAGCACUCCCA
RNAcentral lists this transfer RNA (72 nucleotides) under Heterocephalus glaber (naked mole-rat). It matches the Rfam family "tRNA". Rfam says of the family: Transfer RNA (tRNA) molecules are approximately 80 nucleotides in length. Lineage: Eukaryota; Metazoa; Chordata; Mammalia; Rodentia; Bathyergidae. The record is from Rfam by way of RNAcentral.